CCGGACCUCACCUGGCCGCCUUCGUUCUCGAUGCCCGCCAGGAAGAUGGCGGAGCCCACGAAGAGGCAGAUGCAGAGAUGCAGGUGCACGGUGGUGCGCGAGCCCUGGAUGGGCCGCACCAGCAGGAAGCCCCCUGAGGAUGCCCGAAGCCCCUUCCGCUGCCUGCUGUUCUCCCUGGAAGGGCGGCAAAGCCUGGUGAUGCGCGGAGGCUGGCUUCUGGGCCUGAACGGUGUCCUCACUGUGCAAGACCACGGCAAGAGAUGGGAUUACAGUGGGGUCUCAGUGCCCACCCUGGGCACAGGCCCUGGGGACGCCCAUCCCGGAGAGGGUGCAUCAGAUCAUAAAACCCAGCAGCCACCACUGUUCUGUGCUUUGCUGCCUCCCUUCCUGGCAAUUCCAUGAGGCCCCUGUACCAUCACAAUUCUCCAAGCGGUUGGUGAAGAUGUCCCCAGAUAAAGAAGUGAACCCCGGAGAGCAGCGACAGGCCGUGGCGUUGACACAUCUGGAGUUCAGGGGGCACCAGCGAGCACAGUCUGUGGGGAUGGUGACCACAGUUGGAAGGUGAGGAAACAGGUCCAGAGAGUCCAGAGUCCCACGGGAGCCGGAGAGGCCCGAAGGGGCCCUUCAUGGGUGCUAGGCCGGCACCAAGAAGAGAAAUGGCAGAGCCUCGGGGCCUCCAUGCUUCCAGAGCUGGCCUUUCUGGGCCAGCGCUUACCUUGGUGGGAAACUUGUAUUUCAGGGGCUUCUGGGCAGCAACAGGGAAUCACAAGAUAGAAGAGUUGUUUUCUUUCCUAAUAAGUCACAUGACUGGCUUGUCUCUUGAGGCGUCCAAUAAUUUUUUAAAAACGCUAUUAUUUAUAAAGUGCUUCUUCAUCUCA
Long non-coding RNA from Felis catus (domestic cat), 878 nucleotides. RefSeq lists it as uncharacterized. The record is from RefSeq and is a predicted model, not a curated record. NCBI's taxonomy places the organism in Eukaryota, Metazoa, Chordata, Mammalia, Carnivora, Felidae. The transcript has 4 exons.